CCAGAGAACUUAGCAGAGAUGCUUUGGUGCUUCGGGAACUCUGAGACAGGUGCUGCAUGGCUGUCGUCAGCUCGUGUUGUGAAAUGUUGGGUUAAGUCCCGCAACGAGCGCAACCCUUAUCCUUUGUUGCCAGCGGCUCGGCCGGGAACUCAAAGGAGACUGCCGGUGAUAAACCGGAGGAAGGUGGGGAUGACGUCAAGUCAUCAUGGCCCUUACGGCCAGGGCUACACACGUGCUACAAUGGCGCAUACAAAGAGAAGCGACCUCGCGAGAGCAAGCGGACCUCAUAAAGUGCGUCGUAGUCCGGAUUGGAGUCUGCAACUCGACUCCAUGAAGUCGGAAUCGCUAGUAAUCGUAGAUCAGAAUGCUACGGUGAAUACGUUCCCGGGCCUUGUACACACCGCCCGUCACACCAUGGGAGUGGGUUGCAAAAGAAGUAGGUAGCUUAACCUUCGGGAGGGCGCUUACCACUUUGUGAUUCAUGACUGGGGUGAAGUCGUAACAAGGUAGGCGUAGCGAG
RNAcentral lists this ribosomal RNA (520 nucleotides) under uncultured bacterium. Its description in RNAcentral is "bacterial SSU rRNA". It matches the Rfam family "Bacterial small subunit ribosomal RNA", at positions 988 to 1509 of the family's 1533-position model. The record is from RNAcentral.